CCUACGGGAGGCUGCAGUGAGGAAUAUUGGUCAAUGGACGAGAGUCUGAACCAGCCAAGUAGCGUGAAGGAUGACUGCCCUAUGGGUUGUAAACUUCUUUUAUAAAGGAAUAAAACGAGGCACGUGUGCCUGUUUGCAUGUACUUUAUGAAUAAGGAUCGGCUAACUCCGUGCCAGCAGCCGCGGUAAUACGGAGGAUCCGAGCGUUAUCCGGAUUUAUUGGGUUUAAAGGGAGCGUAGAUGGGUUGUUAAGUCAGUUGUGAAAGUUUGCGGCUCAACCGUAAAAUUGCAAUUGAUACUGGCAGUCUUGAGUACAGUUGAGGUAGGCGGAAUUCGUGGUGUAGCGGUGAAAUGCUUAGAUAUCACGAAGAACCCCGAUUGCGAAGGCAGCUUACUAAACUGUGACUGACAUUGAUGCUCGAAAGUGUGGGUAUCAAACAGGAUUAGAUACCCGGGUAGUC
This 460-nucleotide ribosomal RNA is filed under the name uncultured bacterium. RNAcentral describes it as "partial 16S ribosomal RNA". It matches the Rfam family "Bacterial small subunit ribosomal RNA", at positions 338 to 795 of the family's 1533-position model. The record is from RNAcentral.